GUAGUCGCUUCAGCAGCACAUAUACUAAAACUGGAAUGAUACAGAGAAGAUUGGCAUGGCCCCUGUGCAAGGAUGAUGCGCAAAUUCGUGAAGCAUUCCAUAUUUUU
Molecule: small nuclear RNA, 107 nt
Organism: Nycticebus coucang (slow loris)
Lineage: Eukaryota; Metazoa; Chordata; Mammalia; Primates; Lorisidae
Source: RefSeq, a predicted model, not a curated record